AUCCAGCUGACGAGUUCCAAAUAGGUUGAAACACGCGUCCUGAAU
Molecule: non-coding RNA, 45 nt
Organism: Schistosoma curassoni
Lineage: Eukaryota; Metazoa; Platyhelminthes; Trematoda; Strigeidida; Schistosomatidae
Source: Rfam